CUCUCCUUCGUCUCUCCUUCCUCCCUCCUUCCUCUCUCCACGUCCCUUCCUCCCUCCUUCCUCCCUCCUUCCUCCCUCCUUCCUCUCUCCUUCCUCGUCUCAGCCGUGUCAUCACAUUUGCAUUCCUCCCCACUCAAAAUAGCGUUAUCCGUUCGUUCCACAAAACAAGUCUCACUCGCCUUCUCUCGCUUUCUCUCUCUGGCUCGCUCUCUCUCUUUCUCUCUGGUAGCAGCAGGGGGAGGUGACAGGGCUAGCGUAGCAGUGUAGAGUGGUAUUAGCAGGGGAGGUGACAGGGCUAGCGUAGCAGUGUAGAGUGGUAGUAGCAGGGGGAGAUGACAGGGCUAGCGUAGCAGUGUAGAGUGGUAGUAGCAGGGGGAGGGGACAGGGCUAGCGUAGCAGUGUAGAGUGGUAGCAGCAGGGGGAGGUGACAGGGCUAGCGUAGCAGUGUAGAGUGGUAUUAGCAGGGGAGGUGACAGGGCUAGCGUAGCAGUGUAGAGUGGUAUUAGCAGGGGGAGAUGACAGGGCUAGCGUAGCAGUGUAGAGUGGUAGUAGCAGGGGGAGGGGACAGGGCUAGCGUAGCAGUGUAGAGUGGUAGCAGCAGGGGGAGGUGACAGGGCUAGCGUAGCAGUGUAGAGUGGUAUUAGCAGGGGAGGUGACAGGGCUAGCGUAGCAGUGUAGAGUGGUAGUAACAGGGGGAGGUGACAGGGCUAGCAUAGCAGUGUAGAGUGGUAGCAGCAGGGGGAGGUGACAGGGCUAGCGUAGCAGUGUAGAGUGGUAGUAACAGGGGGAGGUGACAGGGCUAGCAUAGCAGGGUAGAGUGGUAGCAGCAGGGGGAGGUGACAGGGCUAGCGUAGCAGUGUAGAGUGGUAUUAGCAGGGGAGGGGACAGGGCUAGCGUAGCAGUGUAGAGUGGUAGCAGCAGGGGGAGGUGACAGGGCUAGCGUAGCAGUGUAGAGUGGUAUUAGCAGGGGAGGUGACAGGGCUAGCGUAGCAGUGUAGAGUGGUAGUAACAGGGGGAGGUGACAGGGCUAGCAUAGCAGUGUAGAGUGGUAGCAGCAGGGGGAGGUGACAGGGCUAGCGUAGCAGUGUAGAGUGGUAGCAGCAGGGGGAGGUGACAGGGCUAGCGUAGCAGUGUAGAGUGGUAGCAGCAGGGGGAGGUGACAGGGCUAGCGUAGCAGUUUAGAGUGGUAGCAGCAGGGGGAGGUGACAGGGCUAGCGUAGCAGUGUAGAGUGGUAGCAGCAGGGGGAGGUGACAGGGCUAGCGUAGCAGUGUAGAGUGGUAGCAGCAGGGGGAGGUGACAGGGCUAGCGUAGCAGUGUAGAGUGGUAGCAGCAGGGGGAGGUGACAGGGCUAGCGUAGCAGUGUAGAGUGGUAUUAGCAGGGGAGGUGACAGGGCUAGCGUAGCAGUGUAGAGUGGUAGUAGCAGGGGGAGAUGACAGGGCUAGCGUAGCAGUGUAGAGUGGUAGUAGCAGGGGGAGGGGACAGGGCUAGCGUAGCAGUGUAGAGUGGUAGCAGCAGGGGGAGGUGACAGGGCUAGCGUAGCAGUGUAGAGUGGUAUUAGCAGGGGAGGUGACAGGGCUAGCGUAGCAGUGCAGAGUGGUAGUAGCAGGGGGAGAUGACAGGGCUAGCGUAGCAGUGUAGAGUGGUAGUAGCAGGGGGAGGGGACAGGGCUAGCGUAGCAGUGUAGAGUGGUAGCAGCAGGGGGAGGUGACAGGGCUAGCGUAGCAGUGUAGAGUGGUAUUAGCAGGGGAGGUGACAGGGCUAGCGUAGCAGUGUAGAGUGGUAUUAGCAGGGGGAGAUGACAGGGCUAGCGUAGCAGUGUAGAGUGGUAGUAGCAGGGGGAGGGGACAGGGCUAGCGUAGCAGUGUAGAGUGGUAGCAGCAGGGGGAGGUGACAGGGCUAGCGUAGCAGUGUAGAGUGGUAUUAGCAGGGGAGGUGACAGGGCUAGCGUAGCAGUGUAGAGUGGUAGUAACAGGGGGAGGUGACAGGGCUAGCAUAGCAGUGUAGAGUGGUAGCAGCAGGGGGAGGUGACAGGGCUAGCGUAGCAGUGUAGAGUGGUAGUAACAGGGGGAGGUGACAGGGCUAGCAUAGCAGGGUAGAGUGGUAGCAGCAGGGGGAGGUGACAGGGCUAGCGUAGCAGUGUAGAGUGGUAUUAGCAGGGGAGGGGACAGGGCUAGCGUAGCAGUGUAGAGUGGUAGCAGCAGGGGGAGGUGACAGGGCUAGCGUAGCAGUGUAGAGUGGUAUUAGCAGGGGAGGUGACAGGGCUAGCGUAGCAGUGUAGAGUGGUAGUAACAGGGGGAGGUGACAGGGCUAGCAUAGCAGUGUAGAGUGGUAGCAGCAGGGGGAGGUGACAGGGCUAGCGUAGCAGUGUAGAGUGGUAGCAGCAGGGGGAGGUGACAGGGCUAGCGUAGCAGUGUAGAGUGGUAGCAGCAGGGGGAGGUGACAGGGCUAGCGUAGCAGUGUAGAGUGGUAGCAGCAGGGGGAGGUGACAGGGCUAGCGUAGCAGUGUAGAGUGGUAGUAACAGGGGGAGGUGACAGGGCUAGCGUAGCAGUGUAGAGUGGUAGCAGCAGGGGGAGGUGACAGGGCUAGCGUAGCAGUGUAGAGUGUUAGCAGCAGGGGGAGGUGACAGGGCUAGCGUAGCAGUGUAGAGUGGUAGCAGCAGGGGGAGGUGACAGGGCUAGCGUAGCAGUGUAGAGUGGUAGCAGCAGGGGGAGGUGACAGGGCUAGCGUAGCAUUUUACGGUCUGCACCGUCAAAGCCCUGCAGCUUGGAAAGAUAGUUUCCAAUAUACAAUUGUUUUUAUUUUAAAAUGUUGUAUAAUAUGGUAUAUAUUCAAAUCGAAUAUACUCUAUUGCCUCCCCAGGGGGUUCCAGAGAGUGUCAGGGGAGGCGUGAAAGGAAAGUCAAACUGUAUUCGGUUGUCUAAUAAUGAAUAAGUAUUAGGCCUGUCUCUAGCUAUAAUAUGUUUAUAAAAAUAAAUAAAAUCACUUAAAUAAUCUUAAAGGAGGCCCACUGUCUCAGACUUUAAAAACACCUGCUCUGUAGUUUAUUGUCCAUAAGCGUAGACAUAUUCGCAAAUGUAUAAAAAAAUAUAUAUAUAUAAAACUUAAAUAUAUUUA
Molecule: non-coding RNA, 3117 nt
Organism: Oncorhynchus mykiss (rainbow trout)
Lineage: Eukaryota; Metazoa; Chordata; Actinopteri; Salmoniformes; Salmonidae
Source: RefSeq, a predicted model, not a curated record